RNAcentral lists this ribosomal RNA (253 nucleotides) under uncultured bacterium. RNAcentral's name for it is "partial 16S ribosomal RNA". It matches the Rfam family "Bacterial small subunit ribosomal RNA", at positions 524 to 776 of the family's 1533-position model. The record is from RNAcentral.
UACGGGGGGGGCAAGCGUUGUUCGGAAUUACUGGGCGUAAAGGGUUCGUAGGUGGCCUACUAAGUCAGACGUGAAAUCCCUCAGCUUAACUGGGGAACUGCGUCUGAGACUGGAUGGCUUGAGUGCAGGAGAGGAACGCGGAAUUCCAGGUGUAGCGGUGAAAUGCGUAGAUAUGCGGAGGAACACCGAUGGCGAAGGCAAUCCCCUGGACCUGUACUGACGCUCAUGCACGAAAGCGUGGGGAGCAAACAGG